Molecule: unclassified non-coding RNA, 1253 nt
Filed under: Melitaea cinxia (Glanville fritillary)
Lineage: Eukaryota; Metazoa; Arthropoda; Insecta; Lepidoptera; Nymphalidae
Description: misc RNA ENSMCXG00005011721.1
Source: RNAcentral
UAAACCCUCCAAAUAAGCUUCUCCACGUUUACAAUUUGUACAAAUUCUUUUGGGAUGCUCUGCGUUAAAUGUCUCACAUACAGUGCUAUUGAACAAAACUAUCAUUUAUUUGGUAACGAAAGUAUUCAGUAGGUUAAUACUAAUAUCAAAUCUCGUCACAUUCAGUUCGCAUUCGUUUUUACUUUCAUAAAAUAUAAAUUAUCAUAAAAAGUCGGCUUACGAAUGAGAUUUGUCUUUUAUCAAUAGUGAUCAGUCUUGCGGUAAUCGGUAAAUAAUCAAUUAAAAUAGGAACGCAAAGUAAAUGCAACAGAUGGCGGGGGCUCCACUACUGUGACUAGCUACAGGGUGUACGCAGCGUGCGAGAGGAACAGAUGGACAUCAUUAGUUAUGUAUAUCGGAGACAGCCAUUUAUUCACAACGAAAAAGAAAGUUUAGCGCGGCGUCCUAAGGUUGGCAGCACUGACGCGCUAAGUGGUCAAGACGGCGAGACGUCAACACGUCGCACGAUUAUAUAGAAAUUUGUGAAAAUGAUUAAAUCGAAGAUAGAUUAGGUCGUCGUUUCUUUGCUCCGUUAUCCCACUGUUCUGUUAUCUGCAUGGUGUUUGACGAUAGUUAGGAUAACGCUGUCGUCGACAUAUAUAUUAUAAAUCAAUCAGUUCUUUUGCUCAUUCGAAGUUGUUACUAAGUAAAAAAGUCCAAUCAAAUUACACUAUUAACAAUAUUAUGUUAGAUGUUCUCUUUUACGCUAUAAGCAUUGAAAAAUAGAAUUUUAAUUUAGUUGUUAGGUAGUUGCAGAUUUGGAACCAGCUUUAAAUCAUAUUUACUAAAAUUAUAUAUCAGAGUAGACGUUAUAAGAGAACUGAAAGAUUUAUACAGUAGUCUGCAAGCUGCAUACACCGAUACGAUAUAAUCUAUAAACUAUUUUUGUACAUUCCAUUUGAACUUACUCCAUUUUACUCUUUCACGUCAAAUCUUCCAACGAACGAUUAAUUAACAGUAAAUAUAUACUAGUGAUAUCAUAUUAAGGCUUGACGGAUCAUGUUCAAACUUGACCUUGGUCCUUCGAGCCGGAUCGAGUCUACGCUGUAUAAUAAGUAGAAAUCUUACUUUUACUUCGGCGAGUAUGUUCUAAAACCGCCUCUCAUGUAUAUUAUCUUUCUUUGUAUAAAAGUAUCAAACAGUAUAAUAUUACGAAGUGUUGUAUAUCAAUCGAGUUGCAAAAUAGUAAGUUGUAUGUUUGCGUCGGUUUUUUG